AACGAACGCUGGCGGCGCGCCUAACACAUGCAAGUCGAACGAGAAGGCGUAGCAAUACGCUUGUAGAGUGGCGAACGGGUGAGUAAUACGUGGGUGACCUACCCUCGAGUGGGGAAUAACCCGCCGAAAGGCGGGCUAAUGCCGCGUACGCUUCCGUCCUCACGGGGACGGAAGGAAAGCUGUACCGUGGGUACGGCGCUCAAGGAUGGGCUCACGUCCUAUCAGCUUGUUGGUAGGGUAACGGCCUACCAAGGCUACGACGGGUAGCUGGUCUGAGAGGACGAUCAGCCACACUGGCACUGCGACACGGGCCAGACUCCUACGUGGA
This 328-nucleotide ribosomal RNA is filed under the name uncultured bacterium. RNAcentral describes it as "bacterial SSU rRNA". It matches the Rfam family "Bacterial small subunit ribosomal RNA", at positions 29 to 346 of the family's 1533-position model. The record is from RNAcentral.